This 163-nucleotide microRNA precursor is filed under the name Eugenia uniflora (Surinam cherry). RNAcentral's name for it is "miR159 stem-loop (eun-MIR159)". Its record names the gene eun-MIR159. Lineage: Eukaryota; Viridiplantae; Streptophyta; Magnoliopsida; Myrtales; Myrtaceae. The record is from miRBase by way of RNAcentral.
GGGUGGGUUGAGCUGCUGGUCUAUGGAUCCCACACUCCUAUCCCAUUAAAGCAAGUAAUUCUGGAGUUAAUAUAAAGAAAAGGACAGGGAAAUGAAGAAGACGCAAAGAAGAAAUUUUUGGGAUGGGCUUGUGGCUUGCAUAUGCCAGGAGCUUCACUUGCCC